RNAcentral lists this non-coding RNA (24 nucleotides) under Arabidopsis thaliana (thale cress). The record is from RNAcentral. Lineage: Eukaryota; Viridiplantae; Streptophyta; Magnoliopsida; Brassicales; Brassicaceae.
GACUCGUCUUUAAAUAAUGGUGGU